GCCAGGCGUGGUGGCGUGUGCCUGUAAUCCCAGCUACUCAGGAGGCUGAGGCAGGAGAAUCGCUUGAACCUGGGAGGUGGAGGCUGCAGUGAGCCAAUAUUGUACCACUGCACUCCAGCCUGGGUGAUGGAGCGAGACCCUGUCUCCA
Molecule: unclassified non-coding RNA, 148 nt
Organism: Pongo abelii (Sumatran orangutan)
Lineage: Eukaryota; Metazoa; Chordata; Mammalia; Primates; Hominidae
Rfam family: Metazoan signal recognition particle RNA
About the family: The signal recognition particle (SRP) is a universally conserved ribonucleoprotein. It is involved in the co-translational targeting of proteins to membranes.
Source: Ensembl